GUGAGGAAUUUUCCGCAAUGGGCGAAAGCCUGACGGAGCAAUGCCGCGUGAAGGAUGAAGGCCUAUGGGUUGUAAACUUCUUUUCUCAGAAAAGAAUUAUGACGGUAUCUGAGGAAUAAGCAUCGGCUAACUCUGUGCCAGCAGCCGCGGUAAGACAGAGGAUGCAAGCGUUAUCCGGAAUGAUUGGGCGUAAAGCGUCUGUAGGUUGUUUAAAAAGUAUUCUGUCAAAGAUUAGGGCUUAACCCUAGAUAGGCAGAAUAAACUUUUAAGCUAGAGUUUGGUAGAGGCAGAGGGAAUGCCCGGUGGAGCGGUGAAAUGCGUAGAUAUCGGGAGGAACACCAAAGGCGAAGGCACUCUGCUGGGCCAAUACUAACACUGAGAGACGAAAGCGAGGGGAGCAAAUGGGAUUAGAAACCCUGGUAGUCC
This 426-nucleotide ribosomal RNA is filed under the name uncultured bacterium. Its description in RNAcentral is "partial 16S ribosomal RNA". It matches the Rfam family "Bacterial small subunit ribosomal RNA", at positions 354 to 796 of the family's 1533-position model. The record is from RNAcentral.